This 569-nucleotide ribosomal RNA is filed under the name Gastrophryne olivacea (western narrow-mouthed toad). Its description in RNAcentral is "partial 16S ribosomal RNA". It matches the Rfam family "Bacterial large subunit ribosomal RNA", at positions 1811 to 2608 of the family's 2925-position model. The record is from RNAcentral. Lineage: Eukaryota; Metazoa; Chordata; Amphibia; Anura; Microhylidae.
AAACAUCGCCUCCUGCAGUAUAUAGGAGGUCCAGCCUGCCCAGUGACCAAGUUAAACGGCCGCGGUACCCUAACCGUGCGAAGGUAGCGCAAUCACUUGUUCUUUAAAUGAGGACUAGUAUGAAUGGCAUCACGAGGGUUACACUGUCUCCCACCUCUAAUCAGUGAAACUGAUCUCCCCGUGAAGAAGCGGGGAUAAAACUAUAAGACGAGAAGACCCCAUGGAGCUUCAAACCCGGCAUCAACCAUUAACAUUAAUACCACAUUAAAUAAAUGGACCUGACUGCUGGUUUUAGGUUGGGGUGACCGCGGAGCAUAACAAAACCUCCAUGAUGAACGACCUCCUCUCUAAUCCGAGAGCCACCACUCAAAGAAUCAAAAAAUUGACAUUUAUUGACCCAAACUAUUUUGAUCAACGAACCAAGUUACCCUGGGGAUAACAGCGCAAUCCAUUUCAAGAGCCCCUAUCGACAAAUGGGUUUACGACCUCGAUGUUGGAUCAGGGUAUCCUAGUGGUGCAGCCGCUACUAAAGGUUCGUUUGUUAACGAUUAAAACCCUACGUGAUCUGA